This is an RNA transcript of Brassica rapa (field mustard), 2047 nucleotides long. RefSeq lists it as uncharacterized. Lineage: Eukaryota; Viridiplantae; Streptophyta; Magnoliopsida; Brassicales; Brassicaceae. The record is from RefSeq and is a predicted model, not a curated record.
GAGGCGAUCGAACCCAAUCCCUAUCCCUCGAGACGAUAAAAGACGACGACGACGAAAUCAUCCCAGGAGAAGAGAUCAAUCACGACAUUUUGGAAUCGAAAUCUACUGGUUUCAGGAAGUGGGGAGAGAGACAGAGAUAGAGAUGAGAGAGAGAGGAGGAGAUAAGCAACAUAUCUUAUUGUUCCUGAUUAAGCGACGGUGCUUGAAUUAAAAGGUUUUUAGAUGGGAUCGAUGUGGUGGGGGGAGGAAGCGGCGAAGGGUGCUAAAAUAGCAGUGUGGUGGGAUAUGAAGGAGUGUCCGAUUCCGGAGGGUUACGAUGCUGGUCGGAUCCGACCGAGUUUAGAAGCGGCGUUCAAGGAACGAGGCUACUCUGGUCCAGUCUCCUCCAUCACUGCAUACGGGGACCAAACACAAACCCCUGUUCACAUCCUGCAUGGGCUCUUAUCCACUGGAGUGUCUGUAGCACACACCAGCUCCGAAAGCACGAACUACAUCUUGUAUCGGGAUAUAGUGGAAUGGCGAGGUCAGAAUCCACCCCCUGCUACAAUGAUGAUCAUAUCCAAUCAGGUGGUAGGUGACUUGUCUUGGGAUCUGGCCCGGCUACAACAACGGUCGCAAUACAACCUGUUUCUAGCUUAUUCGAAGGCGCCUUGCGUACUCUCAGUCCUGUCAACUUCUUCAAGGUGGUUAUGGGAAAAAUUACUAGGGGAUAAUAAUAAUAAUAAUAAUAAUAAUAAUAAUAAUAAUAAUAAUAAUAGAAUUGAGACCAGAAGCGUUCAGUAUAAAUUAUCUGCCAUGAUACUUUGUUGCAAAUCGUGCAAUUUCGAUUGCCAAAGCCCUGAGAAAUUCAGGAAGCAUCUCUCGAGUUAUAAGCAUGCACGGCAAGAGUCUGUAUACCCUACGUACAAAGAAGUUAACCGUGUUACGGAGACGUGGGGAAGGAACUACGCUGCAGCGCCUGAAUAUGCGACAGCUAAAAUACUGGUGUGGUGGAACAUGUUUGACUGUCCUAUCCCUGAGGGAUAUGAUGCUCGUCGGGUCCGUCCGAGUUUAGAAGAGGCAUUUAAGAAACUAGGCUACUCUGGUCCCGUCUCUAUCACUGCCUAUGGCGACUUAAACCACACCCCUGAGCACCUCCUCCGAGGGCUCUCUUCCACUGGAGUCAGUCUUGCACAUACCAUUCUCGAUGUCACGUACAAGCGCAUGUAUUCAGAUUUGCUGGAUGGGCAAAAGUCUAAUCCUACUCCGACUAAUAUUAUGGUCAUAUCUGAUACAGAUACACAUCAGGCCUUCUCAACUCCCCUUGUCCGCCUAGUACAAAAGCAGAAGCACAACCUUUUUCUGGCUUAUUCAUCUAGGCCUUACAAAAUGUUUGUCCUGCUCCCUUCUGCCGAGUGGCUCUGGCAUAGCUUACUUGAAGUUUCAGAGAAAAGAAAACACGUUCUUCAGAAAUGCAGUAGUGAAAGUGAAAGUGAUAGGGGUGGUGAAUCAAGCGCAAUGUUGUAUUGCAAAGUGUGCUGUGGUGGCCAAGGUCCUGAUUACAAAAGCCUUGACAAUUUAAGGACGCAUCUCUCUAGUGAAGAACAUGCACAUGAAUAUUACUUCGUUUGUUCAGUUAAAAAUGAAGAAUAGGAAUCUAUCUCUCUUAGCCCAGUACGAUCGAGAGCAUCGACAUCAAUGGCGACAGGUAAAAAAAUCUCAAAACAUCAAACAUAUCAGGAAAGCAUUCCGGACGGGUUUUCUUCUUCUUCUUGAUAAUCAUUUACGUCGACGUAGAGCUCGAAAAUCUCAAUCCUGCAGACGUCGUGGCUCUCGACGUAGAGCUCAAAAAUCUCCAACCGUGUGGUGAAAUCGUUACCAGGUAGAAGCUCUUAUUCUUCGUUUCUAGUCUAUGUUUCAAUUUCAAGCAGUAUUUAUUUUUCAUUUCGUUUUGCUUUGUUUAAAACAAUCUUAUUAUUCACUCAUGUAAUGUUAUUAGUAAUUUUAAAUCAAACACUGUUUUUCAAAUUUACUGAAUGUCAUUAUAUUAACUUACUGUUUAGUAGUA